Molecule: long non-coding RNA, 1415 nt
Organism: Megalopta genalis
Lineage: Eukaryota; Metazoa; Arthropoda; Insecta; Hymenoptera; Halictidae
Source: RefSeq, a predicted model, not a curated record
CCGCCAUCUUGAACGGCACGCGGCGAAAGAGGAAAACACGAGGUCUCGGAGCACGAGGAGUCCGGAAAGUCUUUUUACAGGACGAUGAGGACUCUCAGGCAGUCGAGGGGUCCCGGGACGCGUCGAACACCCUGGAGCACAUCAAUCCUGUCCGGCUGCCUCGUUGCAAGACUAUCAGCGAGGGAGAGAGAACGCCCACUCGGCAGGCUCGUCACGAGGGUUCGCCGUUUCCAGAAGGCGCGGCGUGCACGCACGCGGUCGUUAACAAACGAUCCUCUGAAUAUUCUUUCUCCCCGCACGUGUCCACGAUACGAUUGUCGAAACCCUGACGAUUCGAGAUCGACUCUGCAGUUUCCGACACGUUCUUAAACACACGUACCCGAGAACUUCGGAACACACGAGGCGCGACAGGGCUGUGCGUGGUUAAGAACACGCUGACUCGGCGAUUUCACGAGAGCCGAGCGCAAAAUUAACCGGCACGGGAUUAUCGAACGUGUACCUUUUUAAGGGCGGACCCGUGGUUGAUCGUGGUAUAGAACAGCGAGGCAACAAGAGUUACAGGACAAUCGGAGCACACCUUGUCGGGCCUAGAAUUUAUCUUCGGGUCGGAUCUUCUUUUGUAAUUCCUGGGUUUUCCUUCGUAGUUCCCUUCGUGGACGGGCAGAGAGGUUUUGUCACAACUGCGAUGAAUUCGGAGGCACCGUUUUUAAUGUCGCGUUAACACGGAUUACGUAAACACGGCAUUUUCGGCGACCUUUUUCCACGGAAAAGCGGUCCACAAAACACAUGUGGCCAACGCUGGCUCCUGGCCUUUACGCGAGCGGCUACAAAGCUUCCGGUUUGAUCGAUUAUAGUUUCUGAACGACAGACGGCGACACUGUGCUUCCUCUUCAACCAAGACCCGCGAGAGGGCAAGUUGAGAUUAAUGAAGAAUAGUAUCUGGCAAGGACUCGAUGCCUUAUCGAAGUCAAGAGUGGUGGGGGCAUCUUUUAGUUACAGGAGUGCCUCUCCGUAGUGAGCCAAUCAGGGGCCAGCCGGCUUCGAAUUAAGAAGCAGGUAGGGAAACUGCUUCUCCUCUGAUUGGUUGACCCUUCACAGCUGAACAGUGCUGUCCCCACAGUUUUAGACAAAGAGAGAAAGUGGCGAAAUAAAAACAGUUAACAAAUAUGUAUCCUCAUUAUGAUUCGAAUAAUUGUACAAUGGUUAAAUAAAUAGACGGAGUAGUUUGUUCGAAUAAAUAAAUGGAAUAGUUUGUUCAAAUAAAUAGAUAGAAUACUUUAAUCGAAUAAACAAACGGUACAGAUUGAUCGAAUAAGUUAACUGAACAGAUCGAUAGAAUAAAUAGACGGAACAAAUCGAACUUAUUCAAACUAUGUAGUUCGAAAUUAUUUCGAAUAAAUAUCUCACUAAUAUAA